Molecule: non-coding RNA, 85 nt
Organism: Spinacia oleracea (spinach)
Lineage: Eukaryota; Viridiplantae; Streptophyta; Magnoliopsida; Caryophyllales; Amaranthaceae
Source: Rfam
GAAAAUGAUGAUAUUUGAAUGUCGCCCCAGUCUUACAAGCAUCUAAAUCAGAUGCGAUUUGGUGAUUGACCUUUUUAUCUGAUCC